This is a long non-coding RNA of Rosa rugosa (rugosa rose), 903 nucleotides long. RefSeq lists it as uncharacterized. The record is from RefSeq and is a predicted model, not a curated record. Lineage: Eukaryota; Viridiplantae; Streptophyta; Magnoliopsida; Rosales; Rosaceae. The transcript has 3 exons.
UUCAAUUUGCAGUGUAGAGGUCGAAUUAACAAUUUCAAUUUCUAGGGUUCUUGGAAUUUCUGGAAAUUUUUCACCGGCCAAAUUGGAGCUCUUCCAGGGCAAUGCCGCGAGCUACGGUUAAAUGAAGGAACUCGUUUGCGUGGUCGCCCAGUAGUACUUUUGCAGGCGAAAUUAGUUGAGGUCGGGCGUACAUGGAGUCGAGGCAUAGCCAAUAGCAUUGCUUCCGCGUACUCAUUCUAUUUCUGUUUUCUUUGUUACCUAGUGGAUUAGUAUUGCUCUGAUAACCUAUGGGAUUAAUAUUGCUUUUGGGUUGAGACUGAUAUUUGUGAAAUUGGAGUUGUGAUUUGGGGAGCAGAUGGCUCCAGAAGAUUAAGGAUGGAUGAUUUAGAAGUGUAAAUGUUUUCCUACAGAUUUUGGGUAGCCUACUUUUAGGGGAAGUUCCGCCAAAUUUUUGGUAGAAUUUCUUCUAAAGUGGGCCCCGCAGGGCCACUUCGGAUUUCAGGGUGAAAUCUGGGGCGGGUCCUGUCAAACCUAAUGCAAGAAGCCCAAACAAGAUAUGGCUUCAUUUUCAGGUGUACAUGUCCAUGUCUGAUGAAGCUAACACUGUCAACGGUCAUGCGGUCUCGCUCAUACAAAUAAGAAUAACGAUGUCUCUUCAAGCGAAGCUGAAGACACUAAAAUAUGUCGUAUGUUUUUGCAAAUAUGUGGGAACCAAUUCCAAAAAUUUCUAAAAAGACAAAAUGUCCAUGCCAAAACCAUCAUUUCCUACUAAAAAUGUUCAAUGAUGAGAUCAUGACAUGAGAGAAUAUCAAUAAAAAUAGCUAUUGACAAGCAUAUAUAUCUCCUUUUUAUUACAGUUGUAUAUAAGUUUUUGUUUUUGGCUUUUUUUCCUGGUGAACUGAA